AGUGAACGCUGGCGGUAGGCCUGACACAUGCAAGUCGAACGGCAGCACAGCAGUAGCAAUACUGUGGGUGGCGAGUGGCGGACGGGUGAGGAAUACAUCGGAAAUCUACCUUUUCGUGGGGGAUAACGUAGGGAAACUUACGCUAAUACCGCAUACGACCUUAGGGUGAAAGUAGGGGAUCGCAAGACCUUACGCGGAUAGAUGAGCCGAUGUCGGAUUAGCUAGUUGGCGGGGAAAGGCCCACCAAGGCUACGAUCCGUAGCUGGUCUGAGAGGAUGAUCAGCC
This 285-nucleotide ribosomal RNA is filed under the name uncultured bacterium. RNAcentral describes it as "partial 16S ribosomal RNA". It matches the Rfam family "Bacterial small subunit ribosomal RNA", at positions 29 to 309 of the family's 1533-position model. The record is from RNAcentral.